UACAGAGGUGGCAAGCGUUGUUCGGAAUUACUGGGCGUAAAGGGCGCGUAGGCGGUCUCGUAAGUCCCGCGUGAAAUCCCCCGGCUCAACUGGGGAAUGGCGCGGGAAACUGUGAGGCUUGAGUUCGGGAGAGGGAAGCGGAAUUCCGGGUGUAGCGGUGAAAUGCGUAGAUAUCCGGAGGAACACCGGUGGCGAAGGCGGCUUCCUGGACCGACACUGACGCUGAGGCGCGAAAGCUAGGGGAGCAAACGGG
This 253-nucleotide ribosomal RNA is filed under the name uncultured bacterium. Its description in RNAcentral is "partial 16S ribosomal RNA". It matches the Rfam family "Bacterial small subunit ribosomal RNA", at positions 524 to 776 of the family's 1533-position model. The record is from RNAcentral. RNAcentral also lists the same sequence under 1 other name.